UACGGAGGAUCCGAGCGUUAUCCGGAUUUAUUGGGUUUAAAGGGUGCGUAGGUGGAUUGGUAAGUCAGUGGUGAAAGUUUGCAGCUUAACUGUAAAAUUGCCGUUGAAACUGCCGGUCUUGAGUGCAAAUGAGGUAGGCGGAAUGCGUCGUGUAGCGGUGAAAUGCUUAGAUAUGACGCAGAACUCCGAUUGCGAAGGCAGCUUACUGGGAUGCAACUGACACUGAGGCGCGAAAGCGUGGGGAGCAAACAGGAUUAGAUA
Molecule: ribosomal RNA, 261 nt
Filed under: uncultured prokaryote
Description: partial 16S ribosomal RNA
Rfam family: Bacterial small subunit ribosomal RNA
Source: RNAcentral